GGAAGUAAAAAUCGUAACAAGGUUUCCGUAGGUGAACCUGCGGAAGGAUCAUUAAUGAGUUGUCAUGGGGUUCGAUGCUGGCAGCCAGUUUUUGGAUGCAUGUGCUUGCCCUAACAAUCAUCUUCUUCCAAACACCUGUGCACAUUUUUGAGGGAGUCUUGAGUUGGUUGCCGCUCUUGGGUGAUUUUCUCACAUUCCCUUAAAUCAUUAUACGCUAUUAACAAUGUUGAACGUGCUCUGUGCCGCAAGGCCAUUAAUAUAAUACAACUUUUAACAACGGAUCUCUUGGCUCUC
RNAcentral lists this unclassified non-coding RNA (294 nucleotides) under plant metagenome. RNAcentral describes it as "partial contains small subunit ribosomal RNA, internal transcribed spacer 1, and 5.8S ribosomal RNA". The stretch from base 1 to 54 matches the Rfam family "Eukaryotic small subunit ribosomal RNA", at positions 1778 to 1831 of the family's 1831-position model. The record is from RNAcentral.